Molecule: ribosomal RNA, 500 nt
Filed under: uncultured bacterium
Lineage: Bacteria
Description: partial 16S ribosomal RNA
Rfam family: Bacterial small subunit ribosomal RNA
Source: RNAcentral
AUUGAACGCUGGCGGCAUGCCUUACACAUGCAAGUCGAACGGCAGCACGGGAGCAAUCCUGGUGGCGAGUGGCGAACGGGUGAGUAAAGUAUCGGAACGUGCCCAGUCGUGGGGGAUAACGUAGCGAAAGUUACGCUAAUACCGCAUACGAUCUAUGGAUGAAAGCGGGGGAUCGCAAGACCUCGCGCGAUUGGAGCGGCCGAUAUCAGAUUAGGUAGUUGGUGGGGUAAAGGCUCACCAAGCCGACGAUCUGUAGCUGGGCUGAGAGGACGACCAGCCAAACUGGGACUGAGACACGGCCCAGACUCCUACGGGAGGCAGCAGUGGGGAAUUUUGGACAAUGGGCGAAAGCCUGAUCCAGCCAUGCCGCGUGCAGGAUGAAGGCCUUCGGGUUGUAAACUGCUUUUGUACGGAACGAAAAGGUUUGGGCUAAUAAGCUGAGCUCAUGACGGUACCGUAAGAAUAAGCACCGGCUAACUACGUGCCAGCCGCCGCAGUAA